Long non-coding RNA from Cygnus atratus (black swan), 340 nucleotides. RefSeq lists it as uncharacterized. The record is from RefSeq and is a predicted model, not a curated record. NCBI's taxonomy places the organism in Eukaryota, Metazoa, Chordata, Aves, Anseriformes, Anatidae. The transcript has 3 exons.
CAAAGAUGAUGUGUCUUUGCUCAGAUUUCAUACCGCCAUGGAUGAGUGCUGUCUGUAACAGGGAGAAGAAAACUGUUGCGUCUAAGUAGAGAAAGAAUGCUUAGGGUGAGAGAUGUGCCUCUGGAGAGGUGCAGAGAAAUGCAGCAGCAGACAGGGAGGGAGAGAGAGAACUGCAGCACAAGAUAGGCCCUGCCUUGCACCUGUCAUUACUGUCUGUCUGCUCCCAGCGUGCCUGAAUUAACUGUCAUAGGAUGCUGUCUUGAAUGGAUGGGCAUACCCCGAGGAUUUGAAACCUGUCACCUUUGUGUGGUCUUUGUUCCUUCUGCCAAAUGGCAAGGCU